This 707-nucleotide ribosomal RNA is filed under the name uncultured marine alveolate. RNAcentral describes it as "SSU rRNA". It matches the Rfam family "Eukaryotic small subunit ribosomal RNA", at positions 617 to 1330 of the family's 1831-position model. The record is from RNAcentral.
GGUAAAAAAGCUCGUAGUUGGAUUUCUGUUGAGGACAACCGGUCCACACAACGUGUGCGUAUCUGGUUUGGCCUCGGCAUCCUCUCGAUAGACGUUUCUGCGCUUGAUUGCGUGGAGCGGAUCUCGGGACUUUUACUUUGAGGAAAUUAGAGUGUUCACGGCAGGCAAUCGCCAGAAUACGUUAGCAUGGAAUAAUAAUAUAGGAUCUCGAUUCUAUUUUGUUGGUUUCUAGAAUUGAGUUAAUGAUUAAUAGGGACAAUUGGGGGCAUUCGUAUCAACACGUCAGAGGUGGAAUUCUUGGAUUGUGUUGCGACGAACUACUGCGAAAGCAUUUGCCAAGGAUGUUUUCAUUGAUCAAGAACGAAAGUAAGGGGAUCGAAGACGAUUAGAUACCGUCGUAGUCUUUACCAUAAACUAUGCCAACUAGAGAUGGGGCAUCGUUCAUUUACGACUUGCUCCGCACCUUAUGAGAUAUCAAAGUCUUUGGGUUCCGGGGGGAGUAUGGUCGCAAGGCUGAAACUUAAAGGAAUUGACGGAAGGGCACCACCAGGAGUGGAGCCUGCGGCUUAAUUUGACUCAACACGGGGAAACUCACCAGGUCCAGACAUAAUAAGGAUUGACAGAUUGAUAGCUCUUUCUUGAUUUUAUGGGUGGUGGUGCAUGGCCGUUCUUAGUUCGUGGAGUGAUUUGUCUGCUUAAUUGCGUUA